AACGCACCUUGCGCUCCUUGGUAUUCCGAGGAGCAUGCCUGUUUGAGUGUCAUGAAACUCUCAACCUUCAACUUUUUUUAUUAAGGCUGAAGGCUUGGACUUGAGCGCUGCUGGUUUUUACUAACCGGCUCGCUUGAAAUGAAUUAGCAGAUCCUUUUUGUAAUCGGUUCCACUCGACGUGAUAAGUAUUUCGCCGAGGACAUACGAAAGUAUGGCCGAGAUAAGGAAAGUCUUUAGAUCCGCUUCUAAUUCUUAGAUCAAGCUUGCUUGACUAAACCCCAUUUUAUGAUCUGGCCUCAAAUCAGGUAGGACUACCCGCUGAACUUAA
Molecule: unclassified non-coding RNA, 328 nt
Filed under: uncultured Mrakia
Lineage: Eukaryota; Fungi; Basidiomycota; Tremellomycetes; Cystofilobasidiales; Cystofilobasidiaceae
Description: sequence contains ITS2
Rfam family: 5.8S ribosomal RNA (bases 1-52)
Source: RNAcentral